UACGUAGGUGACCAGCGUUGUCCGGAUUUACUGGGCGUAAAGAGCUCGUAGGCGGUCUGUUGCGUCCGCUGUGAAAACUCGGGGCUUAACCCCGAGCCUGCAGUGGAUACGGGCAGACUAGAGGUAGGUAGGGGAGAAUGGAAUUCCCGGUGUAGCGGUGAAAUGCGCAGAUAUCGGGAGGAACAUCAGUGGCGAAAGCGACUUCCUGGACCAAUACUGACGCUCAUGUGCGAAAGCGUGGGGAGCAAACAGG
RNAcentral lists this ribosomal RNA (253 nucleotides) under uncultured bacterium. Its description in RNAcentral is "partial 16S ribosomal RNA". It matches the Rfam family "Bacterial small subunit ribosomal RNA", at positions 524 to 776 of the family's 1533-position model. The record is from RNAcentral.